This 253-nucleotide ribosomal RNA is filed under the name uncultured bacterium. RNAcentral's name for it is "partial 16S ribosomal RNA". It matches the Rfam family "Bacterial small subunit ribosomal RNA", at positions 524 to 776 of the family's 1533-position model. The record is from RNAcentral.
UACGUAGGGUGCAAGCGUUGUCCGGAAUUAUUGGGCGUAAAGAGCUCGUAGGCGGUCUGUCACGUCGGCUGUGAAAACCCGGGGCUCAACCCCGGGCCUGCAGUCGAUACGGGCAGACUAGAGUGCGGUAGGGGAGACUGGAAUUCCUGGUGUAGCGGUAAAAUGCGCAGAUAUCAGGAGGAACACCGGUGGCGAAGGCGGGUCUCUGGGCCGUAACUGACGCUGAGGAGCGAAAGCGUGGGGAGCGAACAGG